This 1035-nucleotide long non-coding RNA is filed under the name Monodelphis domestica (gray short-tailed opossum). Its description in RNAcentral is "lncRNA (ENSMODG00000043492.1)". The record is from RNAcentral. Lineage: Eukaryota; Metazoa; Chordata; Mammalia; Didelphimorphia; Didelphidae.
CUGUUAAUUUUUUUGUUGUAAUGCUGUAACAGAAACUUCAUUUGUUGAUCCUGUGUUUGGCAUUUCUCCCAAUAAGAAGCAUUUGUUUUCCUAGACAAUCAAUAGGUUUCAGGCAAGAUUCUUUUUUCUACUUUCUCAUAGGAACUUUUCAUCUCAUUCUUUUGUAGACCUUAAUGAGAAGUGCCUGAAUGCUUAGUUUUUCUAAAGACCCCAGAAGCAACCUAUCUUCCAGUUAUGUUCUCAAAUAGAGGCUACAUGUUUCUAGAAAUCAUCUUCUAAAUUAAUGCUGUGGGCUGAGGAAAAUGUUACAUCCUGAAAUUUGAAUAACUUUUUCAAGCUUUGUUUAAAUUCUGGACUGAAUAUUUUUUGUGAUCAUUCAAGUGAUUCUGAAAAAUUCUCUUAAUUAUAUUGUCUUUGAGUUUCAUUGGGAUUUUAAACAACUGUUCAGUCUCCAUACUAUCUAUUUUAUUAUGGUGAUUGUAUGCAUUAAUAUAUACAGAAUUUUUAUUAAUUUAAAAUUCUUUACAUGUAAGUAAUAAAUACUUAAGAUCUUACUGUUUCAGGUACUAUUUUAGGAGCUGGAGAGUUACAUACUAAUAGAAUUUUUGAGGUGAAAGAGACUUUAUAAUUUCUACAAGCCCCUUAUUUUCCAAACUGAAAAGUGAAAUGACUUGUCCCAAGUUUCAACUAGAUCUUUAAGAUCUCUUUCAUCUCCUAAGAUUCUAUAAGUCAAUUCUACAAGCCUGGUGGUAGAGCUGGACCUGAAUAUCAUGAUUUAAAAAAAGAAUAUUAAUAAGCUGGAUAAUGUCCAGAGGAAGGUAACCAGAAUGGUGAAGGAUCCUGAGACCCUGUCAUGUGAGGAUCAGAUGAGGAAAAGAGGACACAAACUGGAGAAGAGAAGACCAAAAACAUGCUUCUUCUGUGAAUUGGAUGAUAGGUCUUCAGUCAAACAUCAAUAGCCCAAGAAAUAUGAAAAUGGAGGAAAGCUCUAAGAUCAUUUAAUAUAUUUUUCACAUAUUUCCCUUUACAACUCUG